CACAAUUCGUUGGUGGCGCCAAAAACUUAAUUUUCAAUAUUCAACUCUGGUCUAUAACCUGGGAUGACAAUGACUUUAUCAGAUGUUCUUCCGUUGGUUUUUCUUGUCCUGCUGCUCCCUAUGCAAGCUAUGACGUGUGUGACGGAUUAUUCCUCACCAGACGGCUGCGCGGAUGUUGGCGGGGAGUGUAAGGCUUCGGCGGGGGAGUGUUACAUGGUACCCACAAUGUAUUAUGGAGACCAAUGCUGCUGCUCCACGGACGAGUCCUGUAGAUGGGUUCAACCCGACUCCAGUCUUGUAAAGAAAAGGGAUGACGAACUGUAGAUACGCAUGUUAUUAUUUAGAGUGCAUUUAUCAAAAUGAUAAAUCAAAGUGAUGUACCCAUUGUGUGUUUAAAAUGAAAUUUCUAUAUUAAAACUAUCA
Saccostrea cuccullata (small rock oyster) is the source of this 423-nucleotide long non-coding RNA. RefSeq lists it as uncharacterized. The transcript is spliced from 2 exons. The record is from RefSeq and is a predicted model, not a curated record. Lineage: Eukaryota; Metazoa; Mollusca; Bivalvia; Ostreida; Ostreidae.